AGAGUUUGAUCCUGGCUCAGGACGAACGCUGGCGGCGUGCUUAACACAUGCAAGUCUAACGGUGACGAGGAGCUUGCUCCUCUGAUCAGUGGCGAACGGGUGAGUAACACGUGAGCAACCUGCCCCAGACUCUGGGAUAACAGUUGGAAACAGCUGCUAAUACCGGAUACGAGACGGAGAGGCAUCUCUACCGUCUGGAAAGUUUUUCGGUCUGGGAUGGACUCGCGGCCUAUCAGCUAGUUGGUGAGGUAAUGGCUCACCAAGGCGGCGACGGGUAGCCGGCCUGAGAGGGCGACCGGCCACACUGGGACUGAGACACGGCCCAGACUCCUACGGGAGGCAGCAGUGGGGAAUAUUGCACAAUGGGCGAAAGCCUGAUGCAGCGACGCCGCGUGAGGGAUGACGGCCUUCGGGUUGUAAACCUCUUUCAGCAGGGAAGAAGCGAAAGUGACGGUACCUGCAGAAGAAGCACCGGCUAACUACGUGCCAGCAGCCGCGGUAAUACGUAGGGUGCGAGCGUUGUCCGGAAUUAUUGGGCGUAAAGAGCUUGUAGGCGGUUUGUCGCGUCUGCAGUGAAAAUCCGAGGCUCAACCUCGGACUUGCUGUGGGUACGGGCAGACUAGAGUAUGGUAGGGGAGACCGGAAUUCCUGGUGUAGCGGUGGAAUGCGCAGAUAUCAGGAGGAACACCGAUGGCGAAGGCAGGUCUCUGGGCCAUAACUGACGCUGAGAAGCGAAAGCAUGGGGAGCGAACAGGAUUAGAUACCCUGGUAGUCCAUGCCGUAAACGUUGGGCGCUAGGUGUGGGGCUCAUUCCACGAGCUCCGUGCCGCAGCUAACGCAUUAAGCGCCCCGCGCUGGGGAGUACGGCCGCAAGGCUAAAACUCAAAGGAAUUGACGGGGGCCCGCACAAGCGGCGGAGCAUGCGGAUUAAUUCGAUGCAACGCGAAGAACCUUACCAAGGCUUGACAUAUACCGGAAACAUCCAGAGAUGGUGCCCCGCAAGGUCGGUAUACAGGUGGUGCAUGGUUGUCGUCAGCUCGUGUCGUGAGAUGUUGGGUUAAGUCCCGCAACGAGCGCAACCCUCGUUCUAUGUUGCCAGCGCGUAAUGGCGGGGACUCAUAGGAGACUGCCGGGGUCAACUCGGAGGAAGGUGGGGAUGACGUCAAAUCAUCAUGCCCCUUAUGUCUUGGGCUUCACGCAUGCUACAAUGGCCGGUACAAAGGGCUGCGAUACCGCGAGGUGGAGCGAAUCCCAAAAAACCGGUCUCAGUUCGGAUUGGGGUCUGCAACUCGACCCCAUGAAGUCGGAGUCGCUAGUAAUCGCAGAUCAGCAACGCUGCGGUGAAUACGUUCCCGGGCCUUGUACACACCGCCCGUCAAGUCACGAAAGUCGGUAACACCCGAAGCCGGUGGCCCAACCCUUGUGGAGGGAGCCGUCGAAGGUGGGACUGGCGAUUGGGACUAAGUCGGAACAAGGUAGCCGUACCGGAAGGUGCGGCUG
This 1500-nucleotide ribosomal RNA is filed under the name metagenome. Its description in RNAcentral is "bacterial SSU rRNA". It matches the Rfam family "Bacterial small subunit ribosomal RNA". The record is from RNAcentral.